RNAcentral lists this ribosomal RNA (468 nucleotides) under uncultured bacterium. Its description in RNAcentral is "partial 16S ribosomal RNA". It matches the Rfam family "Bacterial small subunit ribosomal RNA", at positions 28 to 507 of the family's 1533-position model. The record is from RNAcentral.
GACGAACGCUAGCGGCGUGCUUAACACAUGCAAGUCGAACGGAAAGGCCCUGCUUUUGUGGGGUGCUCGAGUGGCGAACGGGUGAGUAACACGUGAGUAACCUGCCCUUGACUUUGGGAUAACUUCAGGAAACUGGGGCUAAUACCGGAUAGGAGCUCCUGCUGCAUGGUGGGGGUUGGAAAGUUUCGGCGGUUGGGGAUGGACUCGCGGCUUAUCAGCUUGUUGGUGGGGUAGUGGCUUACCAAGGCUUUGACGGGUAGCCGGCCUGAGAGGGUGACCGGCCACAUUGGGACUGAGAUACGGCCCAGACUCCUACGGGAGGCAGCAGUGGGGAAUAUUGCACAAUGGGCGGAAGCCUGAUGCAGCAACGCCGCGUGCGGGAUGACGGCCUUCGGGUUGUAAACCGCUUUCGCCUGUAACGAAGCGUGAGUGACGGUAAUGGGUAAAGAAGCACCGGCUAACUACGUG